This 467-nucleotide ribosomal RNA is filed under the name uncultured bacterium. Its description in RNAcentral is "partial 16S ribosomal RNA". It matches the Rfam family "Bacterial small subunit ribosomal RNA", at positions 28 to 506 of the family's 1533-position model. The record is from RNAcentral.
GACGAACGCUGGCGGCGUGCUUAACACAUGCAAGUCGAACGGAAAGGCCCUGCUUUUGUGGGGUGCUCGAGUGGCGAACGGGUGAGUAACACGUGAGUAACCUGCCCUUGACUUUGGGAUAACUUCAGGAAACUGGGGCUAAUACCGGAUAGGAGCUCCUGCUGCAUGGUGGGGGUUGGAAAGUUUCGGCGGUUGGGGAUGGACUCGCGGCUUAUCAGCUUGUUGGUGGGGUAGUGGCUUACCAAGGCUUUGACGGGUAGCCGGCCUGAGAGGGUGACCGGCCACAUGGGAAUGGAGAAACGGCCCAGCUCCUUACGGGAGGAAGAGGUGGGGAAUAUGGAAAAAUGGGCGGAGGCUUGAGGCAGCAAGCCGGGGUGGGGGAGGAGGGCUUUCGGGUUGUAACCCGCUUCCGCCUGGGCGGAAGGGUGAGUGAGGGUAAGGGGUAAAGAACAACGGGCUAAUUACGU